UUUGACCGAACCGAGCCACAGUGGCUGUUCCUGCGCACGUCCCUGGCCGUAGGUGGCGAGCAGGGCCUGGGCUUC
Molecule: non-coding RNA, 75 nt
Organism: Streptomyces cyaneogriseus subsp. noncyanogenus
Lineage: Bacteria; Bacillati; Actinomycetota; Actinomycetes; Kitasatosporales; Streptomycetaceae
Rfam family: ASpks TB sRNA
Source: Rfam